Molecule: ribosomal RNA, 694 nt
Filed under: uncultured bacterium
Lineage: Bacteria
Description: bacterial SSU rRNA
Rfam family: Bacterial small subunit ribosomal RNA
Source: RNAcentral
AACGCUAGCUACAGGCUUAACACAUGCAAGUCGAGGGGCAGCAUGAAGUUUGCUUGCAAACUUUGAUGGCGACCGGCGCACGGGUGAGUAACGCGUAUCCAACCUGCCCCGUACUCGGGAAUAGCCUGCCGAAAGGCAGAUUAAUGCCCGAUGUUCUCCCCUGAUGGCAUCUGAAAGGGAGCAAAGCUAUUGCGGUACGGGAUGGGGAUGCGUCCGAUUAGGCAGUCGGCGGGGUAACGGCCCACCGAGCCAUCGAUCGGUAGGGGUUCUGAGAGGAAGGUCCCCCACAUUGGAACUGAGACACGGUCCAAACUCCUACGGGAGGCAGCAGUGAGGAAUAUUGGUCAAUGGACGCAAGUCUGAACCAGCCAAGUAGCGUGCAGGAUGACGGCCCUAUGGGUUGUAAACUGCUUUUAUGCGGGGAUAAAGUUUGCCAUGUAUGGCAUUUUGCAGGUACCGCAUGAAUAAGGACCGGCUAAUUCCGUGCCAGCAGCCGCGGUAAUACGGAGGAUCCGAGCGUUAUCCGGAUUUAUUGGGUUUAAAGGGUGCGUAGGCGGGAGCGGAAGUCAGCUGUGAAAUUUUAUGGCUCAACCAUAAACUUGCAGUUGAAACUCCGUUUCUUGAGUACACAUGAGGUGGGCGGAAUUUGUGGUGUAGCGGUGAAAUGCUUAGAUAUCACGAAGAACUCCGAUUG